CCCAUUCUUGGUCACCCGUGAGGUGACAGUGGUGGUGCUGGAAGCGGAGGAGAACUCCUCCUCCUGUAGCAAGUGCGCAGGCAUGUGGCUACCGUGUCCCUGUCCCUCGGCGGCGGUGCGCGGAUGUCCCCGGUGGUGGUGGCGGCGGCGGCGGCGGCUGCUGCUGCGGGACUCUGACUGCUGUCGGCCCCUCGCCGGGCGAGUUGUGCGGCUGGGGAGGCGGGUGCGGAGGUAUUUAAGCGGGGCCGGGCUCUCGGCACCCCGGCCUCCCUGUGACCCCCUGCCCGCUGCGAGAUGCGUG
RNAcentral lists this long non-coding RNA (301 nucleotides) under Gallus gallus (chicken). Lineage: Eukaryota; Metazoa; Chordata; Aves; Galliformes; Phasianidae. The record is from RNAcentral.